This 111-nucleotide non-coding RNA is filed under the name marine bacterium AO1-C. Its description in RNAcentral is "SAM riboswitch aptamer (S box leader)". It matches the Rfam family "SAM riboswitch aptamer (S box leader)". Rfam says of the family: The SAM riboswitch is found upstream of a number of genes which code for proteins involved in methionine or cysteine biosynthesis in Gram-positive bacteria. The SAM riboswitch acts at the level of transcription termination control. RNAcentral also lists the same sequence under 1 other name. Lineage: Bacteria; Pseudomonadati; Bacteroidota; Cytophagia; Cytophagales; Cytophagaceae. The record is from Rfam by way of RNAcentral.
GAUUUAUAAAGAAGUGUGGAGAGAUUAGGCUCGCUGAAACACUGGCAACCUCCUCAACUCAGAGAAAGGUGCUAAAUCCUACCCAACCUUAGUAGUUGGGAAAUAUAAAUU